CCUACGGGAGGCAGCAGUGGGGAAUAUUGCACAAUGGGGGAAACCCUGAUGCAGCGACGCCGCGUGAGUGAAGAAGUAUCUCGGUACGUAAAGCUCUAUCAGCAGGGAAGAUAAUGACGGUACCUGACCACGACGCCCCGGCUAACUACGUGCCAGCAGCGGCGGGAAUACGUAGGGGGCAAGCGUGAUCCGGAUUUUCUGGGUGUAAAGGGAGCUUAGACGGCAGCACAAGUCUGGCGUGAAUUCCCGGGGCUUAACCCCGGAACUGCUGUGGAAACUGGGAGGCUGGAGUGCAGGAGGGGUAAGCGGAAUUCCUAGUGUAGCGGUGAAAUGCGUAGAUAUUAGGAAGAACACCGAUGGCGAAGGCAGCUUACUGGACUGUAACUGACGUUGAGGCUCGAAAGCGUGGGGAGCAAACAGGAUUAGAUACCCCAGUAGUC
RNAcentral lists this ribosomal RNA (440 nucleotides) under uncultured bacterium. Its description in RNAcentral is "partial 16S ribosomal RNA". It matches the Rfam family "Bacterial small subunit ribosomal RNA", at positions 338 to 795 of the family's 1533-position model. The record is from RNAcentral.